Molecule: ribosomal RNA, 397 nt
Filed under: uncultured bacterium
Lineage: Bacteria
Description: partial 16S ribosomal RNA
Rfam family: Bacterial small subunit ribosomal RNA
Source: RNAcentral
AUACGUAGGGGGCGAGCGUUGUCCGGAAUGAUUGGGCGUAAAGGGCGCGUAGGCGGCCGGGUAAGUCUGGAGUGAAAGUCCUGUUUUUAAGAUGGGAAUUGCUUUGGAUACUGUCGGGCUUGAGUGCAGGAGAGGUAAGUGGAAUUCCCAGUGUAGCGGUGAAAUGCGUAGAGAUUGGGAGGAACACCAGUGGCGAAGGCGACUUACUGGACUGUAACUGACGCUGAGGCGCGAAAGUGUGGGGAGCAAACAGGAUUAGAUACCCUGGUAGUCCACACUGUAAACGAUGAAUGCUAGGUGUAGGGGGUAUCGACCCCUUCUGUGCCGCAGUCAACACAAUAAGCAUUCCGCCUGGGGAGUACGGCCGCAAGGUUGAAACUCAAAUGAAUUGACGGGG